CGCGCCGCUCGGGUGUGCACGCGCGCAAGGGGGGGACCAGGCACGUAACGGUUAGGAGACUGUCUGGAGUCUGUCUCAAAUUGAUAAAAUUGGAAAUGGAGUUUUUGUGUUGUUUUGUUUUUUUGUUUUUUAAACUCAUCUCAGCGCGUUCACGGGGGAAGCCGCCCGGUGGGAAUCUUAGCUUUUGCUCUCCUCYUCAGACGUCUGCGCCCACGAGUCUUCCACGUUUAUGCGAAGUAUUUAUAUUUCUAUUCUCAGAUAAAACGAAAGUUUUUAUUCCUCCCCCCUCUCCUCUGCAGUCUGUCAGCAGACAGCUCAUUGUGCUCAGGCAGGGAAUCCUUUAUACUUGGAGUUCAAGAUGAGUCCACAAAGUCAGCCGGCUUGAACUCAGAAAAGGUUUAUCAGGCUGAUUUCCUGUCCAUCCUGCCGCCAUGUCUGCAGUCCACAAGUAAACCYGCUCAGAUGACACAAAUGGUUUCCACUGGAAAUGACACAGAUGAACACAUCAGGAUGUUUCAGCAGGGAUGAGAGGAGCUCGAUGUCAUGUGCUGAAGCAGGGCUUUUAAUACACUGACGAGAUGGAGGUGGAGAAAUGGGGAAAGAGUACGGAUGUGAACACGUUAAACACAUGCUGUCUUAAGAGACCCCAGGCUUGAAUGAACUGCCAAGACUUCCUGUUUAUUUCAGCGGUUGUGUUGCAGUGAUUUCAGUGAAGGAAACAAAAUGCCAGGACUGUUGUUCCCACUGGAUACUUGUUUGGAAAUGUAUUUCUCAUUCAGACGCUGGCUGCCACUCUCUUACAGCUCUAUUAGGGCUUCCUAUAUUCAAACUGCACUGUGCAGAAUUUUAAGUGCAGAGUUGGUGGUGGACUAGGAGGAAGAUGUCACGCUAAGGAUGGGUUUUGGUGAUGAUGUUGGUGCUGUUGAUGCAGCAUCGAGCUCUUACUUUGUGCCUCUGUCAGCUAUGAUCCGUAACCACACAGUGAGUGACAGGCCAGUCUCCAGGGGAAAGCAUGAGGUCUGAGAAGCUCUUUUCAGAGGUGGCGAGGAAGACUGACCGUCUCGAAGACAGUGCUGGCAGCAGCCCUAUCUGCUCUAAUGCCUAUAGUCACUGACCGUUAGACAUGGCGUUCAAAGACUAGCGGUGCAAGUAUGGAAAUGCAGAUAAGGCAUUGUUGAGGAAACAUGCCUGGGAAUUGUUCAAGUCUUCCACUUGCAUAAUGUUUCAAUGUUUUUCUAUGUUUUUUUUUUGCAAAUGUUUUAAUCUCAGACACUAUGCAUUUGAUCCUGACGGCCAAUGUUUGCAUGAAAUAAAUUGUUGUGCAAAACAA
This is a long non-coding RNA of Austrofundulus limnaeus, 1330 nucleotides long. RefSeq lists it as uncharacterized. Lineage: Eukaryota; Metazoa; Chordata; Actinopteri; Cyprinodontiformes; Rivulidae. The record is from RefSeq and is a predicted model, not a curated record. The transcript has 8 exons.